Mauremys reevesii (Reeves's turtle) is the source of this 642-nucleotide long non-coding RNA. RefSeq lists it as uncharacterized. The transcript has 2 exons. The record is from RefSeq and is a predicted model, not a curated record. Lineage: Eukaryota; Metazoa; Chordata; Testudines; Geoemydidae.
CAGUGGCAUCACUUCCAGCCAUUGUCAUCAACAUCGGCCUGGCUCUGCCGCCUGGACCCAGACCCAGCACUAUUGAGGAAGAUACGGACCAACUAAGGAGCCUUCUUGCCGAGCCCCCAGGAAUGCACCAAGAAAAGUCAGAUGCAUCAUCAGGCGGGCUUGGAGGCUGUCUGAAACAAGGCUGCACUUGAACUUCGCCACUACUGUGGGUAAGGAAAUACAGGACAUGAUAUUGGAGGCAGCCGGCAACCUGCUAAUGCCCAAGGAGAAGCUUACGAGAUUUCUCACAGCUACAUCCCUUAAGAGGAGGCACUUGCCAAGAGGAACAGAUUCAGGGAUCAUCAUCUUUGGUGCCCCUAUACUAACUACAAGGGUGGAGUUGGACCAUCUACCACCUUGACUUGUUCAGUGGGGCUGAGCAGACUUCUAGAACCAGUUGCUGACAGCCACCACACCCACUUCCAUGUGUACGUGACCAUCUUGAGCUAAGUGAGAAGUCGGACAUGCGUUCAAGUCAGGGUGUAUUGCUUGCACUGACAUGAUACAGUCCUGAUUUAAGAAUCCUGUAUGGGAGGCUGCUGCCAUUGGCUUGAUUCUUAAUGUUACCCUCUCACUGUACAAUUAAAUCAGAGUUGAAAACCA